RNAcentral lists this ribosomal RNA (500 nucleotides) under uncultured bacterium. RNAcentral's name for it is "bacterial SSU rRNA". It matches the Rfam family "Bacterial small subunit ribosomal RNA", at positions 8 to 501 of the family's 1533-position model. The record is from RNAcentral.
AGAGUUUGAUCAUGGCUCAGAUUGAACGCUGGCGGCAUGCUUUACACAUGCAAGUCGAACGGCAGCACGGGAGCUUGCUCCUGGUGGCGAGUGGCGAACGGGUGAGUAAUGCACCGGAACGUACCCAGUAAUGGGGGAUAACACAUCGAAAGAUGUGCUAAUACCGCAUACGCCCUGAGGGGGAAAGCGGGGGAUCGUAAGACCUCGCGUUAUUGGAGCGGCCGAUGCCGGAUUAGCUAGUUGGUGAGGUAAGAGCUCACCAAGGCGACGAUCCGUAGCUGGUCUGAGAGGACGACCAGCCACACUGGGACUGAGACACGGCCCAGACUCCUACGGGAGGCAGCAGUGGGGAAUUUUGGACAAUGGGCGCAAGCCUGAUCCAGCCAUGCCGCGUGAGUGAAGAAGGCCUUCGGGUUGUAAAGCUCUUUCGCAAGGAAAGAAAACUUAUCUACUAAUACUAGGUGAGGUUGACGGUACCUUGAUAAGAAGCACCGGCUAAC